RNAcentral lists this ribosomal RNA (433 nucleotides) under uncultured Koliella. RNAcentral's name for it is "bacterial SSU rRNA". It matches the Rfam family "Eukaryotic small subunit ribosomal RNA", at positions 1388 to 1831 of the family's 1831-position model. Lineage: Eukaryota; Viridiplantae; Chlorophyta; Trebouxiophyceae; Prasiolales; Prasiolaceae. The record is from RNAcentral.
UACGGCUACCUUGUUACGACUUCUUAGAGGGACUGUUGGCGACUAGCCAAUGGAAGUUUGAGGCAAUAACAGGUCUGUGAUGCCCUUAGAUGUUCUGGGCCGCACGCGCGUUACACUGAUGCAUUCAACGAGCCUAUCCUUGACCGAGAGGUCCGGGUAAUCUGCGAAACUGCAUCGUGAUGGGGAUAGAUUAUUGCAAUUAUUAAUCUUCAACGAGGAAUGCCUAGUAAGCGCAAGUCAUCAGCUUGCGUUGAUUACGUCCCUGCCCUUUGUACACACCGCCCGUCGCUCCUACCGAUUGGAUGUGCUGGUGAAGCGUCCGGAUUGGUGACAGGCGACGGUUCGCCGCUGCUUGUUGCCGAGAAGUUCGUUAAACCCUCCCAUCUAGAGGAAGGAGAAGUCGUAACAAGGUAACCGUCAUCUAGAGGGCCCA